This 919-nucleotide ribosomal RNA is filed under the name uncultured archaeon. RNAcentral describes it as "bacterial SSU rRNA". It matches the Rfam family "Archaeal small subunit ribosomal RNA", at positions 1 to 922 of the family's 1478-position model. The record is from RNAcentral.
UUCCGGUUGAUCCCGCCGGAGGCCAUUGCUAUCGGGGUCCGAUUUAGCCAUGCUAGUCGUACGGGUUUAGACCCGUGGCGAAUAGCUCAGUAACACGUGGCCAAACUACCCUAUGGACCCGGACAACCUCGGGAAACUGAGGCUAAUCCUGGAUAGGGCUCCCACGCUGGAGUGCGGGGAGCUCGAAAUGCUACGGCGCCAUAGGAUGUGGCUGCGGCCGAUUAGGUAGACGGUGGGGUAACGGCCCACCGUGCCGAUAAUCGGUACGGGUUGUGAGAGCAAGAGCCCGGAGAUGGAAUCUGAGACAAGAUUCCAGGCCCUACGGGGCGCAGCAGGCGCGAAACCUUUACACUGCACGCCAGUGCGAUAGGGGGACCCCGAGUGCGAGGGCAUACAGUCCUCGCUUUUACACACCGUAAGGAGGUGUGCGAAUAAGUGCUGGGCAAGACCGGUGCCAGCCGCCGCGGUAAUACCGGCAGCACAAGUGAUGGCCAAUAUUAUUGGGCCUAAAGCGUCCGUAGCCGGCCGAACAGGUCCGUCGGGAAAUCCAUCCGCCUAACGGAUGGGCGUCCGGCGGUAACUGUUCGGCUUGGGACAGGAAGACCCGAGGGGUACGUCCGGGGUAGGAGUGAAAUCCUGUAAUCCUGGACGGACCAUCGAUGGCGAAAGCACCUCGGGAAGACUGAUCCGACGGUGAGGGACGAAAGCUGGGGUCUCGAACCGGAUUAGAUACCCGGGUAGUCCCAGCCGUAAACGAUGUUCGCUAGGUGUGGCGCAGGCUACGGGCCUGCGCUGUGCCGUAGGGAAGCCGUGAAGCGAACCGCCUGGGAAGUACGUCCGCAAGGAUGAAACUUAAAGGAAUUGGCGGGGGAGCACUACAACCGGAGGAGCCUGCGGUUUAAUUGGAUUCAACGCCGGA